This is a small nucleolar RNA of Tachyglossus aculeatus (Australian echidna), 138 nucleotides long. NCBI's taxonomy places the organism in Eukaryota, Metazoa, Chordata, Mammalia, Monotremata, Tachyglossidae. The record is from RefSeq and is a predicted model, not a curated record.
UUCCUCUCAGGAUCGCACCUGGAGAGUUUCCAGUACUCUGCCAAUCUCGGCUAUGGGAGGGAGAGUCAAGCAGAGGCGUGCCCAUUCAAUUCCUUGCUUGGACCGUGGCUAGAGAGUGGAAGGCAAUCUGCUACAGGU